Molecule: unclassified non-coding RNA, 2833 nt
Filed under: Haliotis rufescens (red abalone)
Lineage: Eukaryota; Metazoa; Mollusca; Gastropoda; Lepetellida; Haliotidae
Description: eukaryotic translation initiation factor 3 subunit C- like, transcript variant X1
Source: RNAcentral
ACAGAGAAGAGUGACGUUGAAUAUCCCAUGUGGUAAAUUCUGAAAGUUUCACCACGAAUCUGCUGCAAUCUUUUUUGCAUUUGGGGGAUUAAUUGAGCCUCUUUCUGUACAGUAUUUAAGAAAACUAUCAGCAUAUGCUUUCUGUAUCCAUAAAACAGAAUCAAAGAUGUCGCGUUUCUUUCGUGCGGGUUCCGAAUCGGAAUCGGAGAGUGAGUCGAGCGGUGAGGAGUUGCAGCCCCAGCGCCCAACUGCUACCAGGGCUGUGUUUCAGAUGAGUGAUGAUGAAGAAGACACAAAGAGAGUUGUUCGCAGUGAGAAGGACAAGAGGUAUGAGGAGAUCAACAAUGUCAUCAAACAGCUGAAGAAUCACAAGAAGAUCAAAGACAUGUCCAACGUCCUCACAGACUUCGAGGGUCUGGGCAAGGCAUAUGAGAAGGCCAGGAAGGUGGUGGACAAGGAGGGAAUCCCACGCUUCUACAUCCGCUGUCUGGUGGAGCUGGAGGACUUCGUCAAUGAGUGCUGGGAAGACAAGGACUGGAGGAAGCAGAUCAGCAAGAGCAAUGCCCGGGGGCUGACCACACUCCGACAAAAGCUGAAGAAGUACCUGCGUGACUUCACUGACGAGGUGACCAAGUACCGGGACAACCCAGAUGCCGGGGAUGAUGAAGAAGUUGCCGCCCCGCCAAAGGAAGUGGAGUCAGAUGAAGAUGAGGAUGAGGAUGACGAGGAUGUAUCCAGCAUUCCUCGGCGACCAGCCAAGAAGAUGCUUGACGAUGAUGACAUGGACAGUGACGACAGUGACUCCUGGGACAGUUCAACCACCGAGUCUGAGUCGGACUCCGGGGACGAGAAACUGGAUACAAUGAAACUCACAGCAGAAUACUUCUUGAAAAAGACAACGGAAGAUGAGCGCCUGAAGAGAGAAGAGAGGAAAAGAGAGCGGAAGAAGGAGAAAGAGGCAAAGAAGAAGUCAAAAGAUGACGAAGAUGGAGAAUGGCAGGAAGUGGUGGGAGGAGUGCCGCUCAUGACAGAGAAGCCCAAGAUGUUCCGCAAGGACGAGGAGAUUACCCACGAGGCCGUGCUGAAGAAGCAGACAGAGAUCCUAUCAGCUCGUGGAAAGAAGAGCACAGACCGAUCGGAGCAGAUUGAGCUUUUCAAGGAGCUGCUGACAGUGUCUGAUACGGCCAAUCUCGGACCUGGCAUUGCUGUCAAGAUCAUGUUCAACAUCGUGUCAGCAAUCUUUGACUACAACCCUAACAUUGCCACCUGUAUGAGGUCCGAGGUGUGGGAAAGCUGUCUGGACAACGUGCAGAUCCUGCUGGAUAUGCUGAAGGAAAACGAUGAGAUCGUCAUUGGCGAGAACAUCCCCGACGACACACAGAUAUUUGAUAAAGCUCCGUACCGCGUGCGAGGCUGCAUCCUCACCAUGGUUGAGCGGAUGGAUGAAGAGUUCACCAAGAUGCUGCAGGCCUGUGAUGCUCACAGUACAGAGUAUGUAGACAGGUUGAAGGAUGAGCCGCGUGUGGCAGACCUCACUAAGCAGCUGGAGAAGUACCUGGAGACGCGCGCCACCACGGACGAGAUGUGUCGGGUGUACCUGCGCCGCAUUGAGCAGACCUACUACAAGUUUGACUACAAAGCCAUGGAGGGUGUGGAGCCGGACCCGGCUGAGGAGAACCCCGAGCAGAUGAUGGACCGACUCUGCAAGUACAUCUACGCCAAAGACAGCACGGACAGACUGCGUACCCGCUCCAUGCUGUGCCACAUCUACCACCACGCCCUGCAUGACCGUUGGUACCAGGCUCGGGACCUCAUGCUCAUGUCACACCUGCAGGACACAAUCCAUCACUCGGACGUACACACACAGAUCCUGUACAACCGCACUCUUGUGCAGCUGGGUCUAUGUGGGUUCCGGCGUGGCUUCAUCCGAGAUGCUCACAACGCCCUGGUUGACAUCCAGAGCAGCAACAGAGCCAAGGAGCUGCUUGCACAGGGACUGCUUCCUCAGCGCCAACAUGAACGUAGUGCCGAGCAGGAGAAGAUCGAGAAGCGACGUCUGCUGCCGUACCACAAACACAUCAAUCUGGAGCUGCUGGAGUGUGUGUACCUAGUGUCGGCUAUGCUGCUAGAGAUCCCUUACAUGGCAGCUCAUGAGCUUGAUGUGCGCCGUCGUAUGAUCAGCAAGAACUUCCACCACGUGAUGAAGAUGAGUGAGAGACAGAACUUGACUGGCCCCCCAGAGAGCAUGAGGGAGCAUGUGGUGGCAGCGUCCAAGUCCAUGAAGACCGGUGACUGGAAGGCCUGCAAGAACUUCAUCAUCAAUGAGAAGAUGAAUGCCAAGGUUUGGGAUCUGUUCUACCACAAGGACCAGGUACGUGACAUGAUCACCAACAAGAUCCAGGAGGAGAGCCUCAGGACGUACUUGUUCACCUACAGCAGCGUGUAUGACUCCCUCUCCAUGGACACACUGUCAGAGAUGUUUGAGCUCAACAAGCCUGUGGUGCACUCCAUCAUCAGCAAGAUGAUCAUCAACGAGGAACUCAUGGCCUCCCUGGACGAGCCGACGCAGACGGUGGUGAUGCACCGCACGGAGCCGAGCCGCCUGCAGUCCCUGGCCCUGCAGCUGUCGGAGAAGGUGGCCACCCUGGUGGAGAAUAACGAGCGCAUCAUGGAGAUGAAGCAGGGCAACUUCUACUUCCAGAAGUCCAAGCUAUAUAUUUGACUGAUAAUCAAGGCUACCAGCAGAACCAGAACUGGAGCCGGCGAGAUGGGGAUCAUCAGAAAGGUGGUUGGAACCGGCGUGACGGAGAUCAUCAUAAACAAGGUGGUUGGA